UGCUCAGGACGAACGCUGGCGGCGUGCUUAACACAUGCAAGUCGAACGAUGAUCUCCAGCUUGCUGGGGGGAUUAGUGGCGAACGGGUGAGUAACACGUGAGUAACCUGCCCUUGACUCUGGGAUAAGCACUGGAAACGGUGUCUAAUACCGGAUACGACCUUCCGCCGCAUGGUGAGGGGGUGGAAAGAAUUUCGGUCAAGGAUGGACUCGCGGCCUAUCAGCUUGUUGGUGAGGUAAUGGCUCACCAAGGCGACGACGGGUAGCCGGCCUGAGAGGGUGACCGGCCACACUGGGACUGAGACACGGCCCAGACUCCUACGGGAGGCAGCAGUGGGGAAUAUUGCACAAUGGGCGAAAGCCUGAUGCAGCAACGCCGCGUGAGGGAUGACGGCCUUCGGGUUGUAAACCUCUUUUAGUAGGGAAGAAGCGAAAGUGACGGUACCUGCAGAAAAAGCACCGGCUAACUACGUGCCAGCAGCCGCGGUAAUACGUAGGGUGCAAGCGUUGUCCGGAAUUAUUGGGCGUAAAGAGCUCGUAGGCGGUUUGUCGCGUCUGCUGUGAAAUCUGGAGGCUCAACCUCCAGCCUGCAGUGGGUACGGGCAGACUAGAGUGCGGUAGGGGAGAUUGGAAUUCCUGGUGUAGCGGUGGAAUGCGCAGAUAUCAGGAGGAACACCGAUGGCGAAGGCAGAUCUCUGGGCCGUAACUGACGCUGAGGAGCGAAAGCAUGGGGAGCGAACAGGAUUA
RNAcentral lists this ribosomal RNA (746 nucleotides) under Clavibacter sp. Its description in RNAcentral is "bacterial SSU rRNA". It matches the Rfam family "Bacterial small subunit ribosomal RNA", at positions 21 to 780 of the family's 1533-position model. The record is from RNAcentral. Lineage: Bacteria; Bacillati; Actinomycetota; Actinomycetes; Micrococcales; Microbacteriaceae.